Molecule: ribosomal RNA, 256 nt
Filed under: uncultured bacterium
Lineage: Bacteria
Description: partial 16S ribosomal RNA
Rfam family: Bacterial small subunit ribosomal RNA
Source: RNAcentral
UACGUAGGGUGCGAGCGUGUCCGGAAUUAUUGGGCGUAAAGAGCUCGUAGGCGGUGUGUCACGUCGGCCGUGAAAACCUGCAGCUUAACUGUGGGCGUGCGGUCGAUACGGGCAUCACUGGAGUUCGGCAGGGGAGACUGGAAUUCCUGGUGGUAGCGGUGAAAUGCGCAGAUAUCAGGAGGAACACCGGUGGCGAAGGCGGGUCUCUGGGCCGAUACUGACGCUGGAGGAGCGGAAAGCGUGGGGAGCGAACAGG